UAUUUCCGUUGUUGUUCUUGACCUGUCACCUAAUUUUCUGCCGUAUGUUUCUGUCUCUGUGGAGGUUAUUUCCGUUGUUUCUGUUAUUUCCGUUAUAUCCGUUAUUUCCGUUAUUAUUUCCAUUAUUUUUUUCUGUUAUUUCCGUUAUUAUUUCCGUAAUUUCGUUUUUUUCUGUUAUUUCCGUUGUUGUUCUUGACCUGUCAUUUAAUUUUCUGCUGUAAUUUUCACUCUUUGUGGAGGUUAUAAUUGUUAUUUCCGUUACUUCAGUUAUUUCCGUUGUUGUUCUCGACCUGUCAUUUAAUUUUCUGCCGUAUGUAUCUGUCUCUUUGGAGGUUAUUUCCUUUAUUUCUUUUCUCUCAGUUCUUUCCUUUCUUUCCGUUCUUUCAGUUAUUUCCUUUGUUGUUCUAGACCUGUCACUUAAUUUUCUGCCGUAUGUUUCUGUCUCUGUGGAGGUUAUUUCCGUUAUUUCCGUUAUAUCCAUUAUUUCCGUUAUUAUUUCCGUUUUUUUUUUUUCUGUUAUUAUUCCCAUUAUUUUUUUUGUUAUUUCUGUUAUUACUUCUGUUAUUUCCGUUAUUAUUUCCGUUAUUUUGGUUUUUUUUUUUAUUUCCGUUGAUGUUCUUGACCUCUCACCUAAUUUUUUGCCGUAUGUUUCUUUCUCUCUGGAGGCUAUUUCCAUUAUUUCCGUUAUUUCCGUUGUUGUUCUUGACCUGUCAACUAAGUUUCUGCCGUAUGUUUCUGUCUUCAAAGGUUAUUUCCGUUAUUUCCGUUAUUUCCAUUAUUUCCCUUGUCGUUCAUGACCUGUCAGUUAAUUUUCUGCCGUAAUUUUCUGUCUCUGUGGAGGUUCUAUCAAUUAUUGCCGUUAUUUUCGUUAUUUCCGUUAUUUCCGUUGUUUUUGACCUGUCACCUAAUUUUCUGCCGUAUGUUUCUGUCUCUGUGGAGUUUUUUUCCGUUAUUUCCGUUAUAUCCGUUAUGUCUGUUAUUAUUUCCG
Molecule: long non-coding RNA, 988 nt
Filed under: Gallus gallus (chicken)
Lineage: Eukaryota; Metazoa; Chordata; Aves; Galliformes; Phasianidae
Description: lncRNA (ENSGALG00010007008.1)
Source: RNAcentral